UACAAAUUUGGGAGCAUAUGGAUGGUAUGUAAGGCCAUAAGACAUUGAGAUCUCCAAGGGAGUGAGUGUAGGUAGAAGAGGUUCAUGUUCCAAGUCCUGAAGCUCCCCAACAUCGACAGGUCAGGGAUAUGAAGAGGAAUCAGGGAAGGAGGGGUGCUGUCAGGGUGUUACGAUGGUACCCACUUUCAUGGCAAACAGGGAAAGGACACAGGGUCCGUGGGUGGAAGGCUUAAGCACCAACUCCCUAGCCCGUUGGUUUAGAUGAUCCAAUGGGGGUGGAAGUGGGGGAUUGGAUGCCAAGCAGGUGGGUUUAAAACAGUUCCUGAUCACAUACACAGAACUCUAAGUGGGCUACAUGCUUCACCUAGUUCACCCACUUCCCAGCCAGUGGGAGCCCUGGACAAAUCUUACAGCUCAGGGCAGCUUUUUCCAGCCUAUACCCACACUCCUCCAAGGAGCCCACACGGACUUCAUGCUUCCUGGUUUGACCAUAUCCACACCUCAGGAAUCACAGACCUUGGAUAGUGGGUCAUAGCUGUUGGGACAGGGAAGGGAGCAGCUGUGCCUGGGAAGUCAACCAAGUCCAUGGUAGGGGAGUUAAUGAUUGUGGGGAGACGACCUCGACUAGAUGCUUAGUGUUUGUUGAAUGAAUGAAUGUGUGUAUCCCAAGCUGUGUGCCUGGAGCUGUGCUUGACUGAUGUGCUUGUCGUGUGUGUGUGUGUGUGUGUGUGUGUGUGUGUGUAUGUAUGUGUGUACCUGAGGUGCCCAUCCUGUGUGUGGGCCUCCCCACGCCUACCUCGCGCAGUUAGUGGUGCAUGUGGCUGUGUGUCUCCUCUCCCAGGCCUGCAGAGGGCGCCCCAGCCUGGGAAGGGAGGCUCUCGAGUGGGGCGGGGCUCUGGAGGAGAGGUGUAGGGAAGCUGUGGUUGGCUGGGGGUAUUAUAGCAGGGGCGGGGGCGGGGAGGCCCUGACCCAGGGGGCUCCUCAGAGAGUCCGGGAAGGGCGUUGGCCCAAAGUUCCUGGGCCGGCGCCGACUUCUGGUGCUCUCCUUGCUCCAGGCACCCGUGGGCUCCCGAAGCCGGAGGUCCCGGACAAUGGGCCGGAUACGUGGAGGGGAGACUUGGACUGUAAGUGGGACCACACCCCCGGGGGCCUGGGGCCAGCGUGGGCCUCAGAUGCCCCCCCGGGUGGCCAUUACCCCAGGUUUAGAACAACGGCCCUCCCCCCAAAUCCCCGCCACUCAGGCCCCCGAACUCGUCUGUACACAGCUCGCUGGCAGAGACGCGUGGGCGGGCGAAGGCCUGUGUUUGUCUACAAAUAUUUAUCUCCCUCACUCCCACUCCAACAUACCCUGAGUCCAAGGCACUAACGUAGAAGACGAAAUAAUGUUUGCCUUAAAGGCUAAAGGAAGUUCACAUCACCUCUGGCACUUCCUUCACAGAAUAACCUGCACCCGAUUGAUUCCUUACACCGCAUAAUUACGGUGCUAACCCUAAAAAAGGGUUUCUUUGUUCAGUGAAGGUUUAUUGAGAGCCUAACUGUGCCGGCGUGAGGCUCGGCGCCAGAGGAUGAAGGCCUUUAACAUGGAUAUGAGCGGAAAAGGAAUUUAUACUAUUCGUCAUUGGACACAGGAAAACGCCAGACCUCUGGCCUAUCAUGAGACACAUUUGAGGACAAGUAAUAAAAAAAAAAUCUUUCUGGUCCCAGAAAGAUAAAGGAAAUGAAAACAAAAUUCAACCCACAAACCUGCUGUUUGCGUGUAGCCGACCGAGGACCGCGGUGACGAUGCUGCCUCCUGGUGGCGGAACGGGGCAACGCAGUUGUCACAGUCAAGUGGAGUUUCACAGGGUGGGAGUGGUGGUGGCAGUGACGGCGUGGAUUCUGAACCGAAAUUGGCUCUGGCUGCCCAGGUGGUCAAUAGUGGAGUUUCGUUCUCUUAAUAUUAGAUUGAAAUUUAUUAUGACCACAGUUCCAUAGCUCUAAAGCGAAAGUCUUCAAGAACAUGGCAUCAGAGUUUCCCUGGGGUGUUUUGGUUUGUCACCACCGAGAAAGGGAUGUCCUGAAGAAAACAAAGUCUUCAGCUUCUUUUCAUAGCUAAUACAUUCUCUGCAGGUGGAACUGUAAACACCAAUAGAAGAAUUAAAAAUAUAGGUGUUAGAAAAAGACGCUUGGCAACUUAAGCAUUUAUGAAAAUGGUAACUCAUUGGUCAAGACUGAUGCCAAAGGAUAGAAGCAUUGAUGAAUUUCAUAAAACAACACAGCAUCAUUUUGACCCAAAAUACAAGGAAAAAUAGCACCUGGAUGUGGGAAAGAGAAAGAACUUCACAAAAGAGGCCAGUGAAGCUGAAGGCGUUUUCACAGGCACACAAAGAAGGAAGAGAAAAAUGACACGCUAUUAAGAGACAAAGCAAUUAACAGAACCAGACUCAUAUAUGAUACAGAUAUUGGAAUUAUCAUAUGGGGAUAUUAAAGGAACUAUGAUUAAUGUUAAAGGAUCUAGUAGAAAAGGUGAAUAGCUUUCAUGAUAGAAUGGGUAAUUUCAUCAGGGAGAUGGAAACUCUAAAGAAUCAAAUGGAAAUGCUAGAAAUAGAAAACACGGUAACACAGAUAAAGAUUUCUUUUGUCUGGCUCAUCAGUAGUCUUGACCCAGAGGAGUAAAGAAUCUGUGAAAGAUAAUUAUCUGUGAAGAUAAUUCAAUAGAAAUAUCCAAACUUAAACACAAAGAAAAAAGUGGGAAAGAAACCCCACAAUAGAAAAGAGUGUCCAAGAUCUGUGGGACAACAUCAAACAACCUAACAUAUGUACAAGAAGAGAGAGAAAUGGGACAGAAGAAAUAUUUUAAGAAAUAAUGGCCAAGAAUUUUUCAAAAUUAAUAACAUACCAAGUCACAAAUCUGGGACGAUCAGAGAAUACUAAUCAGGAUAAACAUCUAGGAACUCAUCUAGACGUAUCAUAUAUGAGUUUCUAAGAACUAAAGACAAAGAGAAGAUCUUGAAAAGAGAAACAUUACAUAAAGAGGAACAAAGAUAAGAAAAUCACAGACUACUAACCAAAAACUAUGUCAGCUAGAAGAUAGUGAAGUGACAUCUUCAAAAUGCUGGAAGAAAAAAAAAAAGUCAACCUAGAAUUCUACACCAAGCAAGCAAGCAAGCAA
Herpailurus yagouaroundi (jaguarundi) is the source of this 3151-nucleotide long non-coding RNA. RefSeq lists it as uncharacterized. The record is from RefSeq and is a predicted model, not a curated record. The transcript has 2 exons. NCBI's taxonomy places the organism in Eukaryota, Metazoa, Chordata, Mammalia, Carnivora, Felidae.